This is a small nuclear RNA of Mesocricetus auratus (golden hamster), 108 nucleotides long. Lineage: Eukaryota; Metazoa; Chordata; Mammalia; Rodentia; Cricetidae. The record is from Ensembl.
GUGCUCACUUUAGCAGCACAUAUACUAAAAACUAGGAUAAUACAGAGGAGAUUUCUAUGGCCCCUGUGCAAGGAUGACAAGCAGAUUCAUGAAGCAUUCCAACAUUCC